CAGAGCCCGGCUAGCUUCUGCAUCCAGUAGCUAGCGCACCAUCCAUCAUCAGCAGGCUAGCUAGCUAGGAGAUCGAGAAGAGAUCAUCCGAUCGUCGAUGGCGAAGCAGCAGCAGAAGGCCCUGCCCCUUUGCACGGUGCUCCUGGUGGCCUUGCUCGUCGUCUCGGCCAUGCACGCCAUCCCUGCAGAGGCAGGGAGAGCCUUGGCAGGAGGGCAUAUAGCCUACGACCCGCUGAAUCCAGGCAGGACGCCUUCUGCAGGUCCAGGCCAACCGUACACCCGGCCAUGCCGAUCUAUCUACCAGUGCCCACCUGCAACCGCGACUGCAACGCCUUGAGCCUUGACAGGCCGGACGGCAUGCAUGCAACACGGUGAACAGGAGGAGUCAGUACUCUGCUUAUUCUCAAGGAAUUAUAUACUACAUAUUAAUGGUCUCAGUUGUGGCACAGAUCAAUAGAAUAUUAAGAACGAAUAAUACCAAGCUAUUAGUAGUAGUACUUGGUUAACGAGGUGAAGUAGUAAAAGCCGAGUUGAAUGGUCCGCAUGGCCAUGGCCUCGUUUGUUUGUGUACUCGUGCAUGUAAGUGUGCUUAAGUCAUGAGAUGUUCAGUUUGCCAUCGAGGCAAGUAUGUUGGACCUGUCUAAUAGACGAUCUCAUGUAAUAAUUGAAUAUAAUUUUGAUAUGACUGAAUAAACAACCUCUACGAUAGAUUGUUGUUUU
Long non-coding RNA from Panicum virgatum (switchgrass), 720 nucleotides. RefSeq lists it as uncharacterized. NCBI's taxonomy places the organism in Eukaryota, Viridiplantae, Streptophyta, Magnoliopsida, Poales, Poaceae. The transcript is spliced from 2 exons. The record is from RefSeq and is a predicted model, not a curated record.